CACCUCGGCCUAACUCCCCGUGCCCAAGUCAGCCCGCGGUAAUACCGGAGGGGUGCGAGCCGUUAAAUCCGGAAAUUUACCUGGGGCGUAAAGCCGCCAUGCCAGGGUGGGUUUGUUUAAAGUCCAGAUGUGAAAAGCCCCGGGGCUCAAACCCUCCGGAAAGGUCAUUUGAAAACUGGCAAACUAGAGUACUGUAGAGUGGGGGGUAGAAUUUCAGGUGUAGCGGUGAAAUGCGUAGAGAUCUGAAGGAAUACCAGUGGCGAAGGCGGCCCCCCUGGACAGAUACUGACACUCAGAUGCGAAAGCGUGGGGAGCAAACGGGAUUAGAUACCCCGGUAGUGCACGCCGUAAACGAUGUCUACUUGGAGGUUGUGGCCUUGAGCCGUGGCUUUCGGAGCUAACGCGUUAAGUAGACCGCCUGGGGAGUACGGUCGCAAGAUUAAAACUCAAAUGAAUUGACGGGGGCCCGCACAAGCGGUGGAGCAUGUGGUUUAAUUCGAUGCAACGCGAAGAACCUUACCUACUCUUGACAUCUACAGAAGUCGGCGGAGACGCUGAUGUGCCUUCGGGAACUGUAAGACAGGUGCUGCAUGGCUGUCGUCAGCUCGUGUUGUGAAAUGUUGGGUUAAGUCCCGCAACGAGCGCAACCCUUAUCCUUGUUUGCCAGCGAGUAAUGUCGGGAACUCCAGGGAGACUGCCGGUGAUAAACCGGAGGAAGGUGGGGACGACGUCAAGUCAUCAUGGCCCUUACGAGUAGGGCUACACACGUGCUACAAUGGCGCAUACAGAGGGCAGCAAGCUAGCGAUAGUGAGCGAAUCCCAAAAAGUGCGUCGUAGUCCGGAUUGGAGUCUGCAACUCGACUCCAUGAAGUCGGAAUCGCUAGUAAUCGUGGAUCAGAAUGCCACGGUGAAUACGUUCCCGGGCCUUGUACACACCGCCCGUCACACCAUGGGAGUGGGCUGCAAAAGAAGUAGGUAGUUAACCUUCGGGGAGGACG
Molecule: ribosomal RNA, 998 nt
Filed under: Vibrio sp. CL1
Lineage: Bacteria; Pseudomonadati; Pseudomonadota; Gammaproteobacteria; Vibrionales; Vibrionaceae
Description: bacterial SSU rRNA
Rfam family: Bacterial small subunit ribosomal RNA
Source: RNAcentral